RNAcentral lists this transfer RNA (77 nucleotides) under Neotoma lepida (desert woodrat). It matches the Rfam family "tRNA". Rfam says of the family: Transfer RNA (tRNA) molecules are approximately 80 nucleotides in length. Lineage: Eukaryota; Metazoa; Chordata; Mammalia; Rodentia; Cricetidae. The record is from Rfam by way of RNAcentral.
GGAAUGAUGGCUCAGUCAGCACAGCGCUUGCCUUACAAGCAUGAGGAUGAGGGCCUGGGUUUGAUACCCAGAAUCCA